UACGAAGGGGGCUAGCGUUGCUCGGAAUUACUGGGCGUAAAGCGCACGUAGGCGGCUUUCUAAGUCGGGGGUGAAAUCCUGGAGCUCAACUCCAGAACUGCCUUCGAUACUGGAGAGCUUGAGUCCGGGAGAGGUGAGUGGAACUGCGAGUGUAGAGGUGAAAUUCGUAGAUAUCUGGAGGAACACCGGUGGCGAAGGCGGCAUCCUGGACCAACACUGACGCUGAGGAGCGAAAGCCAGGGGAGCAAACGGG
This 253-nucleotide ribosomal RNA is filed under the name uncultured bacterium. Its description in RNAcentral is "partial 16S ribosomal RNA". It matches the Rfam family "Bacterial small subunit ribosomal RNA", at positions 524 to 776 of the family's 1533-position model. The record is from RNAcentral.